RNAcentral lists this ribosomal RNA (451 nucleotides) under uncultured bacterium. RNAcentral's name for it is "partial 16S ribosomal RNA". It matches the Rfam family "Bacterial small subunit ribosomal RNA", at positions 29 to 523 of the family's 1533-position model. The record is from RNAcentral.
AGCGAACGCUGGCGGCAGGCCUAACACAUGCAAGUCGAGCGGGCGUAGCAAUACGUCAGCGGCAGACGGGAGAGUAACACGUGGGAACGUGCCCUUUGGUUCGGAAUAACUCAGGGAAACUUGAGCUAAUACCGGAUAAGCCCUUCGGGGGAAGGAUUUAUUGCCAUUGGAGCGGCCCGCGUCGGAUUAGCUAGUUGGUGAGGUAAUGGCUCACCAAGGCGACGAUCCGUAGCUGGUCUGAGAGGAUGACCAGCCUCACUGGGACUGAGACACGGCCCAGACUCCUACGGGAGGCAGCAGUGGGGAAUAUUGGACAAUGGGCGAAAGCCUGAUCCAGCCAUGCCGCGUGGAUGAUGAAGGCCCUAGGGUUGUAAAGUCCUUUUAACGGGGAAGAUAAUGACGGUACCCGUAGAAUAAGCCCCGGCUAACUUCGUGCCAGCAGCCGCCGUAA